CGAAGCAACGCGAAGAACCUUACCAGGUCUUGACCAUCCCCUGGACCAACCCGAGAGAUCGGGCGUUCCCCUUCGGGGGACAGGGUGACAGGUGGUGCAUGGUUGUCGUCAGCUCGUGUCGUGAGAUGUUGGGUUAAGUCCCGCAACGAGCGCAACCCUCGACCUUAGUUGCCAGCAUUCAGUUGGGCACUCUAAGGUGACUGCCGGCUAAAAGUCGGAGGAAGGUGGGGAUGACGUCAAAUCAUCAUGCCCCUUAUGACCUGGGCUACACACGUGCUACAAUGGGCGGUACAAAGGGUCGCGAACCCGCGAGGGGGAGCCAAUCCCAAAAAGCCGCUCUCAGUUCGGAUUGCAGGCUGCAACUCGCCUGCAUGAAGCCGGAAUCGCUAGUAAUCGCGGAUCAGCAUGCCGCGGUGAAUACGUUCCCGGGCCUU
RNAcentral lists this ribosomal RNA (434 nucleotides) under uncultured Anoxybacillus sp. RNAcentral describes it as "bacterial SSU rRNA". It matches the Rfam family "Bacterial small subunit ribosomal RNA", at positions 952 to 1382 of the family's 1533-position model. The record is from RNAcentral. Lineage: Bacteria; Bacillati; Bacillota; Bacilli; Caryophanales; Anoxybacillaceae.